CUUAUAUAUACACAUAUGUACAGAUGUCUCUGUCCGUAGUAACUAACUAGGUGUGUAUUCAUUUCUUAAGGAUCCCAAACAGAAAAAUAAAUGAACAAAUUGCUUUCAAAUCGUAUUCAAAUCUCUUUCAAAUAGUAAUUCUUAUAUUUGUUAGAAUCAUUUGCUUGCGAUUCAUUAAACAAAUCAUAAACAAAUCAGAAUUUUCCAAAUCCCC
This 214-nucleotide long non-coding RNA is filed under the name Mytilus galloprovincialis (Mediterranean mussel). The record is from RNAcentral. Lineage: Eukaryota; Metazoa; Mollusca; Bivalvia; Mytilida; Mytilidae.